Long non-coding RNA from Bactrocera tryoni, 1081 nucleotides. RefSeq lists it as uncharacterized. Lineage: Eukaryota; Metazoa; Arthropoda; Insecta; Diptera; Tephritidae. The transcript has 3 exons. The record is from RefSeq and is a predicted model, not a curated record.
CGGUUUUUAGAAUGGAUAAAAAUAUUGAACAAAGAAUUUGUCUCAAAUUUUGUAUUUCUAAGCAAAUUUCGUGCGUGAAAUCGUUGCGAAUAUUGGAAAAGGCUUACGGUGAUUCACAAACACAAGCCAACAAGUGGUACAAGACCUUCACUGACGGUCGAGAGAUCGUUAAAGACAUGUUUCGUUCUGGACGACUUUCGACUUCUUCAACUGAUGAAAGUAUUAAAACAGUGAAGGAUAUAGUGCUAGAAAAUCGUCAGGCAAGUGACAGAAAGAUGGCAAGAGUCGACAUCUCUCGCGGGUUCGUUCGAAUGGUUUUCGUGGAUAUUUUGGUUAUGAAAUACGUUACGAUAAAGCUGAUUUUUUUCAAAAAGAGUGCGAUUGUGACCGAAUUUAUAGACAAAAACGCAAUAAGCUUAUGAAAAGUGUUUCGAGAACUGGAAAAUCGUUGGCAUAGGUGUAUUAUAACUGGUGGGGACUACUCUGAAGGCAGCAAAAAAAAUAUCGAUGAAUAAUUAAAUAUUCUGCGUUUUAUUUACAACUGGAAUCGGUGAGUCAAAUUACUCCGUAACGGCUAGACCAAUUAGCUUGAAGUUUUCACACGGCCAUCUUAGAUAUUUAUAUUUAUCAGAUUUCAAAAAAUUAAGCGCAAAAACAUUAGAGAUCGACUGGGGCACAGGAUUUUGGCUUAAACCGACUUAUGCUAUUUAAAAAAUUGCGACAAAAAUGUUUAUGGUGUAUAAUUUUAUUGGAAUAUUUUGUUGAAACUGCGUACACGCUGCGGAAUCCUGCAUUCCAAAAAUUGACAUAAAAUAAAUUCGCUAUAAUUAAGCAAUAUCGGUAUUACCAAGAGUUUCACAAAUGCACAUACAUAUGUAGACUCAAGUGCAAUUUCAUAUAUGGAAAAGGUUAUCACUCAAAAUUUGAUUUCGGAUGAAAUGAAUGAUCGAACGUAUGCUCUGUUCACCAGCAAAUUAAUAAUAAGGUAUACAUUACAGGCAGAGAGCAUAUUUACAAACAUAUAUAUAUACCUAUAUGUAUAAAGGUAUAUACAUAUUAUUCGAUUUAUACCUUAUUUAAA